GAUGAACGCUGGCGGCGUGCUUAACACAUGCAAGUCGAACGGAAAGGCCCUGCUUUUGUGGGGUGCUCGAGUGGCGAACGGGUGGGUAACACGUGAGUAACCUGCCCUUGACUUUGGGAUAACUUCAGGAAACUGGGGCUAAUACCGGAUAGGAGCUCCUGCUGCAUGGUGGGGGUUGGAAAGUUUCGGCGGUUGGGGAUGGACUCGCGGCUUAUCAGCUUGUUGGUGGGGUAGUGGCUUACCAAGGCUUUGACGGGUAGCCGGCCUGAGAGGGUGACCGGCCACAUUGGGACUGAGAUACGGCCCAGACUCCUACGGGAGGCAGCAGUGGGGAAUAUUGCACAAUGGGCGGAAGCCUGAUGCAGCAACGCCGCGUGCGGGAUGACGGCCUUCGGGUUGUAAACCGCUUUCGCCUGUGACGAAGCGUGAGUGACGGUAAUGGGUAAAGAAGCACCGGCUAACUACGUG
This 468-nucleotide ribosomal RNA is filed under the name uncultured bacterium. Its description in RNAcentral is "partial 16S ribosomal RNA". It matches the Rfam family "Bacterial small subunit ribosomal RNA", at positions 28 to 507 of the family's 1533-position model. The record is from RNAcentral.